GGUCCCAUGGUCUAGUGAUUAGGACAUUGGAUACUGAAUCCAGUAACCCGAGUUCAAAUCUAAGUGGGACCU
This 72-nucleotide transfer RNA is filed under the name Solanum lycopersicum (tomato). It matches the Rfam family "tRNA". From Rfam's summary of the family: Transfer RNA (tRNA) molecules are approximately 80 nucleotides in length. Their secondary structure includes four short double-helical elements and three loops (D, anti-codon, and T loops). Lineage: Eukaryota; Viridiplantae; Streptophyta; Magnoliopsida; Solanales; Solanaceae. The record is from Rfam by way of RNAcentral.